RNAcentral lists this long non-coding RNA (205 nucleotides) under Elaeis guineensis (African oil palm). RNAcentral's name for it is "long non-coding RNA (EGUI_LNC042466)". Lineage: Eukaryota; Viridiplantae; Streptophyta; Magnoliopsida; Arecales; Arecaceae. The record is from RNAcentral.
GGGAUUCAGGGUUAGAUCUUGAAAUCUUCAAGAUCAGGCAGUGAAAAACUAAAAUAAAUCAAAAUUUAUCUUAUAAAAUCAAAGAAUCAUUAGAUCUAAGAUCUUAUUACAUGAUUAUUAUAUGACAUUAAAUCAAAAAUUAAAAUAUAAAGAGGAAGAACUACAUGUUGAUCGUAUCAACAUGUUUCUAUACUACAUCUAAUGU